Molecule: long non-coding RNA, 765 nt
Organism: Lycium barbarum (goji berry)
Lineage: Eukaryota; Viridiplantae; Streptophyta; Magnoliopsida; Solanales; Solanaceae
Exons: 3
Source: RefSeq, a predicted model, not a curated record
UCAACCGAGUUGGCCCAAAAAAAUAAAAACGAAUUAAGGCCCAAAGGAGAUGGGGUGGCCGGCCAACAAUGGCCCAAGCCCAUGGAAUUUUAAUUAAUUCCCAUGUGAUAAUUAGCAUAUAAAGCCUAGAAGAUUCAAGAAAAUAACACAAGUUGGAAAACAAGAACAAAACAAAGAAACAAGAGCAAAAGAACUAAAGGCCAUACGGCCAUGGAGAAAAAAAAUUGACCCUUUGAAAUCUUAUCCCAAAAAUUAUUUUCUUGUGGUAUUUCUACUAAUUCAAGGGUCCUUUACAACUUGGUGUAAUUAUUUUGGAAGAAAGAGCACUUGUUUCUUCAAGUUGACAACUUGGUCAAGUGAAGAAGAUUGUAGAAAAAGAUUUUGGCGAACUUGAAACUUGAUUUUGGAGACGUGUAUGAAGCGGAAAAGGUCAGCAGACAGGCGGGUUUGAUUCUUAGGAGUUCUACCAGCGGCAUUUGACAGCGCUCCAGUUGUUCCGGAGCCCCAGUUCCUUGGUACUAUUUUGUGUAUAUACUCGGGCACGACAGUACUCGGCCCCUUUCUAUGUAUAUGUGUACUAUGUCUAGAGGCUCGUAGACAGAUAUGUACAGUUAGAUGUGUUGUAUUUUGGAAUGUUCACGUCGCCGUAUAACGUGAUAGCAAAGUUUACUAGUCUAUGUUUACGAUGAUGCUACUAAUGUUAAUGUUCAGUAACGAAAAAAAUAUAUAUGGCACAGUUCCUACGGCCCGCUGAGAAGUAAAGGU